GAUGAACGCUGGCGGCGUGCCUAAUACAUGCAAGUCGAGCGAACAGACGAGGAGCUUGCUCCUCUGACGUUAGUGGUGGACGGGUGAGUAACACGUGGAUAACCUACCUAUAAGACUGGGAUAACUUCGGGAAACCGGAGCUAAUACCGGAUAACAUGUUGAACCGCAUGGUUCAACAGUGAAAGACGGUCUUGCUGUCACUUAUAGAUGGAUCCGCGCCGCAUUAGCUAGUUGGUAAGGUAACGGCUUACCAAGGCAACGAUGCGUAGCCGACCUGAGAGGGUGAUCGGCCACACUGGAACUGAGACACGGUCCAGACUCCUACGGGAGGCAGCAGUAGGGAAUCUUCCGCAAUGGGCGAAAGCCUGACGGAGCAACGCCGCGUGAGUGAAGAAGGUCUUCGGAUCGUAAAACUCUGUUAUUAGGGAAGAACAAAUGUGUAAGUAACUAUGCACGUCUUGACGGUACCUAAUCAGAAAGCCACGGCUAACUACGUG
Molecule: ribosomal RNA, 497 nt
Filed under: uncultured bacterium
Lineage: Bacteria
Description: partial 16S ribosomal RNA
Rfam family: Bacterial small subunit ribosomal RNA
Source: RNAcentral